This 77-nucleotide microRNA precursor is filed under the name Podarcis muralis (Common wall lizard). RNAcentral describes it as "let-7 microRNA precursor family". It matches the Rfam family "let-7 microRNA precursor family". Rfam says of the family: This family represents the microRNAs (miRNA) let-7 and mir-98. let-7 was identified from a study of developmental timing in C. elegans, and was later shown to be part of a much larger class of non-coding RNAs termed miRNAs. The extents of the hairpin precursors are not generally known and are estimated based on hairpin prediction. RNAcentral also lists the same sequence under 2 other names. Lineage: Eukaryota; Metazoa; Chordata; Lepidosauria; Squamata; Lacertidae. The record is from Rfam by way of RNAcentral.
UCGUGUUGAGGUAGUAGGUUGUAUGGUUUAGAAUAACACCAUCAGGAGAUAACUGUACAGCCUCCUAGCUUUCCCUG